UAGGGAAUCUUCCGCAAUGGGCGAAAGCCUGACGGAGCAACGCCGCGUGAGUGGUGAAGGUCUUCGGAUCGUAAAACUCUGUUAUUAGGGAAGAACAAAUGUGUAAGUAACUAUGCACGUCUUGACGGUACCUAAUCAGAAAGCCACGGCUAACUACGUGCCAGCAGCCGCGGUAAUACGUAGGUGGCAAGCGUUAUCCGGAAUUAUUGGGCGUAAAGCGCGCGUAGGCGGUUUUUUAAGUCUGAUGUGAAAGCCCACGGCUCAACCGUGGAGGGUCAUUGGAAACUGGAAAACUUGAGUGCAGAAGAGGAAAGUGGAAUUCCAUGUGUAGCGGUGAAAUGCGCAGAGAUAUGGAGGAACACCAGUGGCGAAGGCGACUUUCUGGUCUGUAACUGACGCUGAUGUGCGAAAGCGUGGGGAUCAAACAGG
RNAcentral lists this ribosomal RNA (429 nucleotides) under Actinomycetes bacterium. Its description in RNAcentral is "Actinobacteria bacterium partial 16S ribosomal RNA". It matches the Rfam family "Bacterial small subunit ribosomal RNA", at positions 355 to 776 of the family's 1533-position model. The record is from RNAcentral. Lineage: Bacteria; Bacillati; Actinomycetota; Actinomycetes.